AUGACAGGCGGAAUUGUGACCGUGGCAGGCGGGGUGAUGGACCCCCUCAUCGGCAAGCUCAAAACACUCAUGGGCGAUGAGUACAACAAGUUCAUAGGUGUCAGGAAGCAAGUCUCAUUCCUUGAGAACGAGCUCAGCGCCAUGAAUGCCGCCCUUCACAAGCUGGAGCUCAUGGAUGAGCUCGAUCCGACCGUCAAGGACUGGGUGGAUCAUGUUAGGGAUAUGUCCUAUGACAUGGAGAAUUGUAUCGACGACUUCAUACACGAGUUUAGCGCCGAUGAUGUCAAGGCAGGCCUCAUAGAGAAGACUAUUCAGUUCGUCAAGAAGUUUCGACAACGUCUUCGGAUAGCUGACCGGAUGGAAGAACUCAAGACUCUUGCCUUGGAGGCAAAUGCUCGGCGCGAGAGGUAUAAGAUUGAUGAUUGCAGGCCUGCCUCUAGCUCUGUGGCUGUUGACCCUCGGCUGCGAGCGGUAUACCAGGAGGCGGAAACUCUUGUGGGUAUUGAUGGCCCAAGGAAGGAGGUUGUCACUCGGUUGAUGGAUACACAAAAGAAACUCAAGGUGGUGUCCAUUGUGGGAUUCGGUGGUCUUGGUAAAACAACACUUGCCAAACAGGUGUAUGACAAGAUCAGCUCGCAAUUCACAUGCAAGGCAUUUUUUUCUGUUUCACAGAGGCCUGAUAUGAUUGAGCUACUCAACAAUUUACAAUAUAAACUUGGGAUGAAGGAGUCCAAUUCAUCCCGCCCUCGCAAGGUUGACGACAUCAUUGAAGAGCUAAGGGAACAUCUGAAAAAGAGGAGGUACCUUAUUGUUGUGGACGAUCUGUGGGAUGAAUCGACAUGGAAUAUUAUUAAGUGUGCUUUUCCAGAAGAUGGUAACGGAAGCAGAGUAAUAGCUACAACACGAGUGGAAGGUGUGGCCGGAGCAGCCUGUCAGAAUGACCGUGAGGGUAUCUACAAAUUGGAACCUCUCAGUGAAGAAAACUCAAGAAUGUUAUUGUUGAAUAGAGUAUUUGGGUUCGUACAUGGUUGUCCCCCCCAACUUGAAGAUGUCAUGGCUGAAAUUUUGAAAAAGUGUCAUGGAUUGCCACUUGCAGUUAUCACAAUAGCUAGCCUAUUAGCAAGUGAAGAAAGAUCAUUGAAGGGCUGGGAGAGUAUAAGGGAUUAUUUGGGUGCCCAGUCUGCCACAAAUCCCACCUUGGAAGAGAUGAAGAGUAUAUUAAACCUUAGCUACAUGCAUCUUCCUGCUCAUUUUCGAGCAUGUUUUUUGUACCUUGGUAUGUAUGCAGAGGACUGUGAGAUCCUAAGAGAUGAUCUGAUUCGACAAUGGAUAGCUGAAGGCUUUAUCAUUAGUUUGCAUGUGCAAGAUCUGGAGGAUGUUGGCAGGAGUUAUUUCAAUGAGCUUGUCAAUAGAAGCAUGAUCCAACCUUAUAAAAAUGUGGAUGGGAAGGUGUGUUGCAAAGUACACGACAUGAUGCUUGAUUUGAUCCUAAGCAAGUGUGCUGAAGAUAACUUUAUAAGUGUGGCAUACAAUUAUGAAGGCAUGGCAAGAUUGCAUAGCAGGAAACACAAGGUUCACAGACUAUGUAUGACAUCCAUUGUUGGUGGUGGAGCAACAUAUGGCCCAACUAUUGUUGUUAGCUUAUCACAAGUUCGGUCAUUUACAAUGUUGGGGAACUCCAUGCCUCCUCUGGUGUUGUUUAAGUAUCUCCGGGUGCUCAAGAUUGAUCAAGGCAGGCCCAGGGGAGACGAGGAGACACGUGACCUCACCGCUAUUAGGCAAUUGUUUCAGCUAAGGUAUUUGCAGAUUUUGGGGCCAUAUCCUAUAAAGCUCCCUUCUGAACUUCAAGGGCUUGUUUACUUGGAGACGCUGGACAUACCUGAUGCAUGCCCCAGGACCAUCCCCUCAGAUAUUGUCCAUUUGUCCCGCUUGUCCUAUCUCAAUGUAUGGAUGGAAGAAGGGCUGCCUGAAUUGAUUGGAAAUAUGAAAGUAUUGCGCAGUUUGAGAAUAUCGAAUAGCUGGGUGAUCCAUCAUAGCAUGAAGGGUAUUAUGGGUCUUGGUGAGCUGACCAAUCUUCGGGAACUGAUGAUCGAGGUGGGGUUGGAGAAGCCAGAACUUGAUGCUUUGGUCUGGUCCAUUGGAAGGCUCUGUAACCUCAAACACCUUCAAAUCUUAGGGUUAUGUUCCAAAGGCGAUAACCAGCUGGGUUCAUUAUCCAAUCCUUUCCAACAUCUCGAGGAAUUGCACGUAUCUUCAUUAAAUUUCUGUAGAGUUCCCACAUGGAUGGGUGGUCUUCAUUGCCUUAGCAUUCUCGACCUGCGUGUGGAGGAGACGUCAACUGAGGAGGUUUAUCUUCUUGGGGGGCUUCCCUCCCUUGUCAAUUUGAUUUUCAAACCAUCACACAUCCCUAAAGAAAGGGCUAUGUUGGACACGGGACUAUUCCCGGUUCUGGAGUACCUCGAAUUUUGGUCUCAGGAAGAUGUUAUGGGGUACCUGGGGUUCGAGGCAGGGGCCAUGCCCAACCUACAAUUCCUCACCGUUCACUUUAUAAAGGAGUGGGGCGGCAGUAUACCAGUCGGCAUGGAACAUCUAUCACGCCUCCAAGAGAUCCUACUGAAGGAGGCUUAUUCCGAUGAUGCCAUUGUGUCUAUGUUCAGGAAUGCCUUAUCAGCACACCCAAACCGCCCUUCCGUUGAACAUUGGUCCGGUAAACGUGAGGAGGUAGUUCGAAUUUGA
RNAcentral lists this ribosomal RNA (2736 nucleotides) under Triticum aestivum (bread wheat). RNAcentral's name for it is "partial small subunit ribosomal RNA". Lineage: Eukaryota; Viridiplantae; Streptophyta; Magnoliopsida; Poales; Poaceae. The record is from RNAcentral.